GCGAACGGACGAGAAGCUUGCUUCUCUGAUGUUAGCGGCGGACGGGUGAGUAACACGUGGAUAACCUACCUAUAAGACUGGGAUAACUUCGGGAAACCGGAGCUAAUACCGGAUAAUAUUUUGAACCGCAUGGUUCAAAAGUGAAAGACGGUCUUGCUGUCACUUAUAGAUGGAUCCGCGCUGCAUUAGCUAGUUGGUAAGGUAACGGCUUACCAAGGCAACGAUGCAUAGCCGACCUGAGAGGGUGAUCGGCCACACUGGAACUGAGACACGGUCCAGACUCCUACGGGAGGCAGCAGUAGGGAAUCUUCCGCAAUGGGCGCAAGCCUGACGGAGCAACGCCGCGUGAGUGAUGAAGGUCUUCGGAUCGUAAAACUCUGUUAUUAGGGAAGAACAUAUGUGUAAGUAACUGUGCACAUCUUGACGGUACCUAAUCAGAAAGCCACGGCUAACUACGUGCCAGCAGCCGCGGUAAUACGUAGGUGGCAAGCGUUAUCCGGAAUUAUUGGGCGUAAAGCGCGCGUAGGCGGUUUUUUAAGUCUGAUGUGAAAGCCCACGGCUCAACCGUGGAGGGUCAUUGGAAACUGGAAAACUUGAGUGCAGAAGAGGAAAGUGGAAUUCCAUGUGUAGCGGUGAAAUGCGCAGAGAUAUGGAGGAACACCAGUGGCGAAGGCGACUUUCUGGUCUGUAACUGACGCUGAUGUGCGAAAGCGUGGGGAUCAAACAGGAUUAGAUACCCUGGUAGUCCACGCCGUAAACGAUGAGUGCUAAGUGUUAGGGGGUUUCCGCCCCUUAGUGCUGCAGCUAACGCAUUGAGCACUCCGCCUGGGGGGUACGACCGCAAGGUG
RNAcentral lists this ribosomal RNA (848 nucleotides) under uncultured Staphylococcus sp. RNAcentral's name for it is "bacterial SSU rRNA". It matches the Rfam family "Bacterial small subunit ribosomal RNA", at positions 66 to 895 of the family's 1533-position model. The record is from RNAcentral. Lineage: Bacteria; Bacillati; Bacillota; Bacilli; Caryophanales; Staphylococcaceae.